GGUCUGGAAAGUCCGACGGUACAGGGUGAUAGUCCCGUACACCAAAAUGCACAGGYUGUGAACUCGAAGAGUAGGGCGGGACACGUGGUAUCCUGUCUGAAUAUGGGGGGACCAUCCUCCAAGGCUAAAUACUCCUGACUGACCGAUAGUGAACCAGUACCGUGAGGGAAAGGCGAAAAGAACCCCGGCGAGGGGAGUGAAAAAGAACCUGAAACCGUGUACGUACAAGCAGUGGGAGCACCUUCGGGUGUGACUGCGUACCUUUUGUAUAAUGGGUCAGCGACUUAUAUUCUGUAGCAAGGUUAACCGUAUAGGGGAGCCGCAGGGAAACCGAGUCUUAACUGGGCGUUAAGUUGCAGGGUAUAGACCCGAAACCCGGUGAUCUAGCCAUGGGCAGGUUGAAGGUUGGGUAACACUAACUGGAGGACCGAACCGACUAAUGUUGAAAAAUUAGCGGAUGACUUGUGGCUGGGGGUGAAAGGCCAAUCAAACCGGGAGAUAGCUGGUUCUCCCCGAAAGCUAUUUAGGUAGCGCCUCGUGAACUCAUCUUCGGGGGUAGAGCACUGUUUCGGCUAGGGGGUCAUCCCGACUUACCAACCCGAUGCAAACUACGAAUACCGAAGAAUGUUAUCACGGGAGACACACGGCGGGUGCUAACGUCCGUCGUGAAGAGGGAAACAACCCAGACCGCCAGCUAAGGUCCCAAAGUCAUGGUUAAGUGGGAAACGAUGUGGGAAGGCACAGACAGCCAGGAUGUUGGCUUAGAAGCAGCCAUCAUUUAAAGAAAGCGUAAUAGCUCACUAGUCGAGUCGGCCUGCGCGGAAGAUGUAACGGGGC
This 837-nucleotide ribosomal RNA is filed under the name Pseudomonas aeruginosa. Its description in RNAcentral is "partial 23S ribosomal RNA". Lineage: Bacteria; Pseudomonadati; Pseudomonadota; Gammaproteobacteria; Pseudomonadales; Pseudomonadaceae. The record is from RNAcentral.